RNAcentral lists this long non-coding RNA (964 nucleotides) under Triticum aestivum (bread wheat). Its description in RNAcentral is "long non-coding RNA (TAES_LNC020782)". Lineage: Eukaryota; Viridiplantae; Streptophyta; Magnoliopsida; Poales; Poaceae. The record is from RNAcentral.
CCCUAUGUUGUUCCCGGGCGUGACCCUGUUUCUAUUCGUCAGUGCGAGCGACUGUCUAUCGACGUUUCAGAUUGAUGGCAUGCACUUGGCUUACUGGUUGCCAAUUCCGGGCCAUGUCGGUUGUCGUAGCUGUUGAUGAAUUUAACCUUUGCUGAAUGCUGCAAUGAAUUUAUUAUGCCUGCUUAACCCCCCGUUGGUUGUUGUCUCACAGGUUGCAUUGCAUCUGGCAAGGCGUGGACUGGCGCGUGUGAUUUUCUUCCAUUUGGUUGUUCUUCUUCCAUUCUUUCCUUCCUCAUGUGACUUUUCUUCUGAUUAGGAUGCAAGUUAGCUGCACAUCUUUUCUUCCAUUUUUUAAAUCUCAUGUUCAUUCCGGCUGCGAGCGAAGGUAGCAGUUAACUUCGACCGGCGUGGCAGGUAACCAUGAUAUUCAUUGCAGUUAUGGUGACCCCCGGCAAAAAAAUGAAUUACAAAAUAUGAAAAAAGUUUGGCCAUUUAAAAAAUUCGUCCACAGUGGCAGUUAACAUCGGCCGACGUGGUAGUUAACUUCGGCGUUCAUGACAGUUAGCGUGACCUCGAAAGAAAGAAAGAAAUAUUUUUUAAUGUCUUCGCUCCCAGCAAUUAACUUGGUGUUAACUGCCGCAGCCCCAGGCAAUUACAAAAUAUGAAUAAAGUUUGGCCAUUUAAAAGAUCGUCCAUAGUGGCAGUUAACUUCGGCGUUCAUGACAGUUAGUGUGAACUCAAAAAGAAGGAAAGAAAUAUUUUUUUAGUGUCUUUGCUCCCAGCAAUUAACUUGGUGUUAACAGCCGCAGCCCCAGGCAAUUACAAAAUAUGAAAAAAAAGUUUGGCCAUUUAAAAAAUCAUCCAUAGUGGCAGUUAACAUCGGCCGGCGUGGUAGUUAACUUCGGCAUUCAUUACAGUUAGCAUGACCCCGACAAGAAAAAACGAAAUGUUUUUUAGUGUCUUC